CGGACGGGUGAGUAACACGUGGAUAACCUACCUAUAAGACUGGGAUAACUUCGGGAAACCGGAGCUAAUACCGGAUAAUAUUUUGAACCGCAUGGUUCAAAAGUGAAAGACGGUCUUGCUGUCACUUAUAGAUGGAUUCGCGCUGCAUUAGCUAGUUGGUAAGGUAACGGCUUACCAAGGCAACGAUGCAUAGCCGACCUGAGAGGGUUAUCGGCCACACUGGGACUGAGACACGGUCCAG
Molecule: ribosomal RNA, 241 nt
Filed under: uncultured Staphylococcus sp.
Lineage: Bacteria; Bacillati; Bacillota; Bacilli; Caryophanales; Staphylococcaceae
Description: partial 16S ribosomal RNA
Rfam family: Bacterial small subunit ribosomal RNA
Source: RNAcentral